GCGUGCUUAACACAUGCAAGUCGAACGGUGAACACGGAGCUUGCUCUGUGGGAUCAGUGGCGAACGGGUGAGUAACACGUGAGCAACCUGCCCCUGACUCUGGGAUAAGCGCUGGAAACGGCGUCUAAUACUGGAUACGAGUAGCGGCCGCAUGGUCAGUUACUGGAAAGAUUUAUUGGUUGGGGAUGGGCUCGCGGCCUAUCAGCUUGUUGGUGAGGUAAUGGCUCACCAAGGCGUCGACGGGUAGCCGGCCUGAGAGGGUGACCGGCCACACUGGGACUGAGACACGGCCCAGACUCCUACGGGAGGCAGCAGUGGGGAAUAUUGCACAAUGGGCGGAAGCCUGAUGCAGCAACGCCGCGUGAGGGAUGACGGCCUUCGGGUUGUAAACCUCUUUUAGCAGGGAAGAAGCGAAAGUGACGGUACCUGCAGAAAAAGCACCGGCUAACUACGUGCCAGCAGCCGCGGUAAUACGUAGGGUGCAAGCGUUAUCCGGAAUUAUUGGGCGUAAAGAGCUCGUAGGCGGUUUGUCGCGUCUGCUGUGAAAUCCGGAGGCUCAACCUCCGGCCUGCAGUGGGUACGGGCAGACUAGAGUGCGGUAGGGGAGAUUGGAAUUCCUGGUGUAGCGGUGGAAUGCGCAGAUAUCAGGAGGAACACCGAUGGCGAAGGCAGAUCUCUGGGCCGUUACUGACGCUGAGGAGCGAAAGGGUGGGGAGCAAACAGGCUUAGAUACCCUGGUAGUCCACCCCGUAAACGUUGGGAACUAGUUGUGGGGUCCAUUCCACGGAUUCCGUGACGCAGCUAACGCAUUAAGUUCCCCGCCUGGGGAGUACGGCCGCAAGGCUAAAACUCAAAGGAAUUGACGGGGACCCGCACAAGCGGCGGAGCAUGCGGAUUAAUUCGAUGCAACGCGAA
Molecule: ribosomal RNA, 915 nt
Filed under: Microbacterium foliorum
Lineage: Bacteria; Bacillati; Actinomycetota; Actinomycetes; Micrococcales; Microbacteriaceae
Description: bacterial SSU rRNA
Rfam family: Bacterial small subunit ribosomal RNA
Source: RNAcentral